CGCAUUGAUGAAGAACGCAGCGAAAUGCGAUACUUGGUGUGAAUUGCAGAAUCCCGUGAACCAUCGAGUCUUUGAACGCAAGUUGCGCCCGAAGCCAUUCGGCUGAGGGCACGUCUGCCUGGGCGUCACGUUUCGCGUCGCCUCCCCCACCCACUCCCCACGGGGCGGUUGGGUGUCGGGGGCGGAAAUUGGCCCCCCGUGCGUUUUUUCGCGCGGCCGGCCUAAAUGUGAACCCGUGGCGACUCGCGUCACGACAAGUGGUGGUUGAACACUCAACUCUCGUGUUGUCGUGGCGUUUUGAGUUGGCCUCCGGGCUUCGUCGCAGACCCAACGGCGCGAUCCAAUCGCGCCUUCGACCGCGACCCCAGGUCAGG
This 374-nucleotide unclassified non-coding RNA is filed under the name Pedicularis ornithorhyncha. RNAcentral's name for it is "sequence contains ITS2". The stretch from base 1 to 128 matches the Rfam family "5.8S ribosomal RNA", at positions 29 to 154 of the family's 154-position model. The record is from RNAcentral. Lineage: Eukaryota; Viridiplantae; Streptophyta; Magnoliopsida; Lamiales; Orobanchaceae.